This 128-nucleotide ribosomal RNA is filed under the name Deltaproteobacteria bacterium. Lineage: Bacteria; Pseudomonadati; Myxococcota; Myxococcia. The record is from RNAcentral.
CGUGGGGGUGUUACCGAUGCGCCCGGCCGUACAUCACACCCGAUCCCAUCCCGAACUCGGAAGUUAAGCCUAUCAGAGCCGAUGGUACUGCAGGGGAGGCCCUGUGGGAGAGUAGGACGUCGCCGGAA